RNAcentral lists this ribosomal RNA (492 nucleotides) under uncultured bacterium. RNAcentral's name for it is "partial 16S ribosomal RNA". It matches the Rfam family "Bacterial small subunit ribosomal RNA", at positions 29 to 507 of the family's 1533-position model. The record is from RNAcentral.
AGUGAACGCUGGCGGUAGGCCUAACACAUGCAAGUCGAACGGCAGCACAGUAAGAGCUUGCUCUUACGGGUGGCGAGUGGCGGACGGGUGAGGAAUACAUCGGAAUCUACUUUUUCGUGGGGGAUAACGUAGGGAAACUUACGCUAAUACCGCAUACGACCUACGGGUGAAAGCAGUGGAUCUUCGGACCUUGCGCGAUUGAAUGAGCCGAUGUCGGAUUAGCUAGUUGGCGGGGUAAAGGCCCACCAAGGCGACGAUCCGUAGCUGGUCUGAGAGGAUGAUCAGCCACACUGGAACUGAGACACGGUCCAGACUCCUACGGGAGGCAGCAGUAGGGAAUAUUGGGCAAUGGGCGCAAGCCUGAUCCAGCCAUACCGCGUGAGUGAAGAAGGCCUUCGGGUUGUAAAGCCCUUUUGUUGGGAAAGAAAAGCAGCAGAUUAAUACCCCGCUGUUCUGACGGUACCCAAAGAAUAAGCACCGGCUAACUUCGUG